Molecule: non-coding RNA, 948 nt
Organism: Styela clava
Lineage: Eukaryota; Metazoa; Chordata; Ascidiacea; Stolidobranchia; Styelidae
Source: RefSeq, a predicted model, not a curated record
AUAGUUGAAGAAAUAGUCAAUGCAGACACGAUUGAUCCAACAAUUGUGGAUGAAGUUGAGGAAGAAGAUAUUGAAAUGGUGGUGGCAGAAUGUAUGAGUUGGAUGCUUGGAGAGAUUGAAAAGAGAAUAUAGGAUGGAACUGGAUUUCCUGGGCGGAAUUGCAGAAUAUCGAAUCACGACUUCUCGUCUGGCGAAGAUCCAUCCUUAUAGGAAAUUCUGCAAGAAGAAUAAAGACUGCUACAAGGGAUCACGUGUCACUGAUCCCAGAUUCAAAUCGAAUCAGAUACACAUUGAGGUGGAUUACACCAAAAGAAGUUGACUGGUGUAGUCAGCAGUCAGUAUGCGCCUGGUACGGGGUACCAUCUUGGCGUUGAAGACCUGAAUUUUAUUAAAGAACCUAAGUGUGCUUAAGCAGGGAGCCAUGGCAAGAAGAGCGAUACGAUCAAUAUAAUAUGCGAUAUGAUAUAGCUAAAUGAAGUUUAUAUGGUUCGACUUUAAUUAUGUCGCUGUUUGGGCGGUAAAUGUCAAGAUCGAAUGAGUUUGUGUUUGUAACUUGUAUAAAAUUGUCAUUGGUGAAAUUCGCAAGUAGACAAAUUAUAUACUACUUUCGAAUAAACAUUCAGUUUAAAAUAGAGGAAUGUGCCAAUUUUAUGUAUGUCAAAUAUUAUAACCUUCUCACUGUAAUAAAUACAUUCAAUCUUAUGCAAUGCAAGAACACUUUUCAUUAUCUCUUAAAUCGAUUUGCGUAUGUAUUCUUUAUUAAUUCGUAAGAUCUGUGAAUUUGUAUCAUAUUAUGUAAUGAUAUAAAUAUGACAUAUACUCAUCUAGAUAUAUAUUAUUGCAUCUUGUGAGACGUAAAUACCUAUUCAUUAUAAUGUGUUUGGUAACAUUAUGAUAAUGUUUAGUUUUACCAUAUGUUUUCGUUGAAAUGAUCAUUGUCAUAAAUGC